This 446-nucleotide ribosomal RNA is filed under the name uncultured bacterium. RNAcentral's name for it is "SSU rRNA". It matches the Rfam family "Bacterial small subunit ribosomal RNA", at positions 26 to 518 of the family's 1533-position model. The record is from RNAcentral.
AGAGCGAACGCUGGCGGCAGGCCUAAUACAUGCAAGUCGAACGGAUCCUUCGGGAUUAGUGGCGGACGGGUGAGUAACACGUGGGAACGUGCCCUUUGGUUCGGAACAACUCAGGGAAACUUGAGCUAAUACCGGAUGUGCCCUUCGGGGGAAAGAUUUAUCGCCAUUGGAGCGGCCCGCGUCUGAUUAGCUAGUUGGUGGGGUAAAGGCCUACCAAGGCUACGAUCAGUAGCUGGUCUGAGAGGAUGAUCAGCCACACUGGGACUGAGACACGGCCCAGACUCCUACGGGAGGCAGCAGUAGGGAAUCUUGCGCAAUGGGCGAAAGCCUGACGCAGCCAUGCCGCGUGAAUGAUGAAGGUCUUAGGAUUGUAAAAUUCUUUCAGCGGGGACGAUAAUGACGGUACCCGCAGAAGAAGCCCCGGCUAACUUCGUGCCAGCAGCCGC